AUUGAACGCUGGCGGCAUGCCUUACACAUGCAAGUCGAACGGCAGCACGGGUGCUUGCCCCUGGUGGCGAGUGGCGAACGGGUGAGUAAUACAUCGGAACAUGUCCUGUAGUUGGGGAUAGCCCGGCGAAAGCCGGAUUAAUACCGCAUACGAUCUACGGAUGAAAGCGGGGGACCUUCGGGCCUCGCGCUAUAGGGUUGGCCGAUGGCUGAUUAGCUAGUUGGUGGGGUAAAGGCCUACCAAGGCGACGAUCAGUAGCUGGUCUGAGAGGACGACCAGCCACACUGGAACUGAGACACGGCCAAGACUCCUAAGGGAGGCAGCAGUGGGGAAUUUUGGACAAUGGGCGAAAGCCUGAUCCAGCAAUGCCGCGUGUGUGAAGAAGGCCUUCGGGUUGUAAAGCACUUUUGUCCGGAAAGAAAUCCUUGGCCCUAAUACGGUCGGGGGAUGACGGUACCGGAAGAAUAAGCACCGGCUAACUACGUG
Molecule: ribosomal RNA, 486 nt
Filed under: uncultured bacterium
Lineage: Bacteria
Description: partial 16S ribosomal RNA
Rfam family: Bacterial small subunit ribosomal RNA
Source: RNAcentral